UGAACACAGCUGGUGGUAUCCUAU
This 24-nucleotide microRNA is filed under the name Biomphalaria glabrata. RNAcentral's name for it is "piRNA piR-bgl-114672". Lineage: Eukaryota; Metazoa; Mollusca; Gastropoda; Planorbidae. The record is from RNAcentral. RNAcentral also lists the same sequence under 1 other name.